GACGAACGCUGGCGGCGUGCCUAAUACAUGCAAGUUGAGCGAUGAAGAUUGGUGCUUGCACCAAUUUGAAGAGCAGCGCACGGGUGAGUAACGCGUGGGGAAUCUGCCUUUGAGCGGGGGACAACAUUUGGAAACGAAUGCUAAUACCGCAUAACAACUUUAAACAUAAGUUUUAAGUUUGAAAGAUGCAAUUGCAUCACUCAAAGAUGAUCCCGCGUUGUAUUAGCUAGUUGGUGAGGUAAAGGCUCACCAAGGCGAUGAUACAUAGCCGACCUGAGAGGGUGAUCGGCCACAUUGGGACUGAGACACGGCCCAAACGCCUACGGGAGGCAGCAGUAGGGAAUCGUCGGCCAGGGAUGAAAGUCUGACCGAGCAACGCCGCGGGAGUGAAGAAGGUUGUCGGAUCGUAAAACUCUGUUGGUAGGGAAGAACGUUGGUGAGAGUGGAAAGCUCAUCAAGUGACGGUAACUACCCAGAAAGGGACGGCUAACUACGUG
RNAcentral lists this ribosomal RNA (497 nucleotides) under uncultured bacterium. RNAcentral describes it as "partial 16S ribosomal RNA". It matches the Rfam family "Bacterial small subunit ribosomal RNA", at positions 28 to 507 of the family's 1533-position model. The record is from RNAcentral.